This 71-nucleotide transfer RNA is filed under the name Sclerotinia borealis F-4128. RNAcentral's name for it is "tRNA-His (GTG) (tRNA-His-GTG-2-1)". It matches the Rfam family "tRNA". From Rfam's summary of the family: Transfer RNA (tRNA) molecules are approximately 80 nucleotides in length. Their secondary structure includes four short double-helical elements and three loops (D, anti-codon, and T loops). Lineage: Eukaryota; Fungi; Ascomycota; Leotiomycetes; Helotiales; Sclerotiniaceae. The record is from RNAcentral.
GGUGGUGUGGUGUAAUGGUAGCACGUAGUGUUGUGGCCGCUUCAAUCUGGGUUCGAUUCCCAGCACCGCCA